GACAUUAAACAGAUAAUUAGAAGAUAUGUAUAUAAUUAUAAAGGUUAGCAAGAAGAGAGGGUUUUAAAGAAAGAAUAACAGAGGAGAUCUAUUUUACACAGGUAGUCAAGGAAGGUCUUUUUGAGGAAGUAAUAUUUAAACUGGGACUUGAAGAAUGAUAAGAGGUGAAUAGUGGUGGGAAAAGAAUUAUAGAAAGAGGACAUGGAAUAUAUGAAUAUCCUGACAUUGGAAAGAGCUUGGCAUUUUCAAGGAACUGAAAGGAAGGCCUACUUAUCAGAUGUUUUCCUUUUGGCCCGCAGAUCCUGUCCUGCCCGUCCCUGCUCCUGGUAGGCUGGUGUGAUUGGGGCCUGACUCAACCUGCAGGAGUGAGGUGGCUUUGCUAUGUUUGGCCAAUAGAAAGGACUGGUAGGAGAUCAGAAGGAAGAAGAAACCAGGGGAGUUUGAUCAUGUCUGCUGAGGGAACAUACACAGGAUGAGUGGCCUGACACCACACACACUAGACCUGGAAUGAUAUUUAUCCAUAGACGCUUACAGAGGCAGGAAGAGGAGCUGGUGGACAGUUCCUCCUUUGCCUAUCAUUCUCUGGGAUAGCGCAAAAUGAUCUAGCAGAGUGUUCAGUCCAAGCUCUGUGGGUUAAUAAGCUGCAUGUUUAGGGAAGUGCCAGCAAGUCCUCUGGUAUGAUGAGGACCUGGGUCCCAGCCUUGUUGGACUUCCCUUCUUCUGCCAUCUCAGCAUUCCCGGUCUGGGCUUCCUCCCAGUCACAGAGCCUCCCUGCUAUGAACAGGCGCUCAGACACAGGUCUUGCAGUUUGAGGUGUAUGAUACAUGGGACCUUGGCCUUCAGCCUUGUUCCUCCACCUCAGUGUUCUCCCAGGAUGUUUGCCAAAUAUUCCCACCCUGCAGGAAGCCAACUCUCACUCUGGGAGGACUGCCAGGGGUUAGUGUCAGAUAAAUUAACCUUUACUUCUCACUGCAGUGUAAACUUAAAGACCUAUGAGGACCAGCUGAAAUUGAGAGUAUCUUGUCAAAAUGUGUUUGGCUAUGUCUUUGCCAACACAUUUGUCUUGGCCUAUUGUAUUUGUAUCGUUAGCCCAUUGAACAAAAAUAUCAAUCAAAAAUCUUCAUUUCAUAGUUCAGAGUCAUUCUCUCAAACCCAUCUUCUGUAUUAAUUCUUGGUAAUAUCUUUAUAUUCAAAUAUGAUUUUUCCAAUAGCCUUAUCUUUCAGUCACUUUAAAUUCCAUUCCUUCAAGGAUUUUGUCCCUUAUCCUCCUUCAGCCACCCAUUCCUAUCACCACAUUGUAAUCUUAUUUCUUAGGAUCAAUAAUUGCUACUCCUUCAUUAUCUCCAUUUCACUCUCUCAUCUAUUGUCUUUUCCCUGUAAUGUUCAACUUCAAUAAGACUUUGACCUUAUCUGGACUUCUAGUCUAUUGAUCAUAGUACCUUUCCCUUUUCCCUCACCUGCCUUUCAGUUCUCUUCUUUUCCAGUUUAAAAUCUGUGACAAACACUAUCCUCAUUUCUGCGUAUGGACUCUUGAUUCCUUUGCCUUUCUUUCACUUUGUAUUAACUUGGCAAAAAACAACCCUGUUUAAAUCUAACUCUCCGCCUCCUCUGCACAGCAUCUGGCUGAAAGAAAACACAGUUCUCACCGAUGAGUCCCACUUUAAAUUUGUGACUAUAAAUAACAAAUGGCCUGACUGCUGCCUGGCAAUCUCGCUGUACUUCUCUGGUCCAUUUACCGUUCGAUUUUCCUAAACAAAUAUUUUCCACCUUCUCCUCUCUCCUCAAACCCUCAGCAAAACUUUUUCUCCUUCCUUGUUCUCAGAUAAUUUCCUUCCUUCCUUCCUUCCUUCCUUCCUUCCUUCUUCUUCCUUAAGAAAAUUGAAGCACUCAGAAGAGCAGUUCUUCAGACCUUCACUACACCUGUCCCCCACAGCAGCAUCUGCAGCUGUAUACACUGCUUUCCUGCCUCUUACUAGAGAUGACAAUCCAUGCACCUAAGGCCCAUACCUCCACGUACGUAUUGAAUCCAGUCCUUUUUACACAUAUGCAAAGACAUCACUCAACAAUUUUUUUUUUUUUUUUU
RNAcentral lists this long non-coding RNA (2083 nucleotides) under Homo sapiens (human). RNAcentral's name for it is "HSALNT0191179". The record is from RNAcentral. Lineage: Eukaryota; Metazoa; Chordata; Mammalia; Primates; Hominidae.